UUCCCCAACCAGGGAUUGAACCUGGGCCACAGCAGUGAAAGUGCUGAAUCCUAACCACUAAACCACCAGGGA
RNAcentral lists this transfer RNA (72 nucleotides) under Eschrichtius robustus (grey whale). RNAcentral's name for it is "tRNA-Glu". Lineage: Eukaryota; Metazoa; Chordata; Mammalia; Artiodactyla; Eschrichtiidae. The record is from RNAcentral.